Fundulus heteroclitus (mummichog) is the source of this 735-nucleotide long non-coding RNA. RefSeq lists it as uncharacterized. NCBI's taxonomy places the organism in Eukaryota, Metazoa, Chordata, Actinopteri, Cyprinodontiformes, Fundulidae. The record is from RefSeq and is a predicted model, not a curated record. The transcript is spliced from 2 exons.
GACUGGGAGGGUUAUGGUCCGGAGGAACGUCUUUGGGUGCCAGGUUCUUUCAUUCUAGAUCCAUCUCUCAUUAGGGAUUACCGUUCCUCUCUCCCCCCUUGCUCUUCUCGGCCGCCAGGUGGCGACCAUUGGGGGGGGGGGGGGGUACUGUUGGGUUCCAAGGAUUUUAGUCCCUGUUUUCGUCCACCAGACAGCAGCAGGGAGCGGCACCUGGAAAGGACGUGCCGUCUUUCUGACACGCCUGAUGCUCAUCACCUCAUCUCCCUGGAGCAUAAGAGGAGCAGACCGCCAGCACUUCAGCGCCUGAGUGUUUGCCAGUAUUGACGUUUCCCUUGUGACGCCGUGGAUUAUACCCACUGAAUGCCCGAGACUUUUUUCAUCUCCACCGUUGGAUUACCAAAUCAUUUCCGGAUUCUCCAGCUGGCUGUCGACCGCUCCUCUUAUCUUCUCCGAGCUUCAGCCUACCUGUCCGCCCUCUAACUCUGUCUGGACAUCAUCUAAGGAUCAAGAUCCUGGAACCACAACCAUUUACUCCCCUCAGGCUCAAACCACACAUCAGCAGAAGUAAGACCUGUCAGAUUCUCUCACGGUUCUCCAGUUUCCCAUGUCCCUUAAACUCACCAUCUCCCUCUGCUGUUUUCCCUAGUGAGACCAGGACGAGCCCGUGAACCAGACUCCAGAAAAUACAAUAUCUGCUUGUAAUAUUCUGACCAUAAAUAAAUCCUCUUAACUGAU